CCUGUUCCCAAAUCGCUGCCCCCUAUUCCCAAAUCCCUAACCCGCGGUUCGCGACGGCGGCGGCUCGCAGCGACGUGUGCACUAGGUGGCCGGCGGCGGGAUCUGUUCGAGAUGGGCGGCGCUGGCUUAGAGAAGCGCGAGGCAGAGGAAUGGAACGGGGAAGAAUGGAAGCCCACGGCGGUGUAUCACUGGGGAUCGAAGAACCACUAUGAGGUAACAGAUCUGUCUAGUUCAUGUACGAUUUGUUACCCUACUUUUUCUCAGAAAUAAUUGAUUUUUAGGAGGAGGAGUUGCCGGAAUGUUCACUGGAUCCGACUCAUGUUGUUGCAAACCGAGGCAGCAACAAAGGCAGUAGGUUGUUGGGAUGGAAGAAUGAGGUAAAAUAGGAGUAAACACAACUAAAACUGAAUCUGGCAGUGCAUAAGUGUAUUGAUGUGUGCAUGACUUGUGCAGGAUUUGAGGAGUGUUAUUUUUGAGCUGGAUAGGAAGAACAAGGUGCUGCAGAAAAAAGGUUGAAGAAAAAGAUGCAGAAAAGCAGGCUGAGAUGGAGAAGCAUAAGAUGGAAAAGAAGAUGAUUGCAAGGAUCAACAAGGAGAAAUUGAUCUGUAGAGAUAGGAUGCUAGUGUUUGCAAUAGCCAUAUGUGUAGGCUUGUGCGCCAUUGUCUUUGCAUUAGCUGUGAAGUAGAGGUUGGAUGAUGUUGAAUGUAAUCUGAAUUAUGUGUUGUCACUCUAUUUUUCAGUAAAGUGAUGAUUUCAGUUGCAUUGGCAGUGUGUGGAUUUGAUGGGAAAUUCAGU
This 795-nucleotide long non-coding RNA is filed under the name Triticum aestivum (bread wheat). RNAcentral's name for it is "long non-coding RNA (TAES_LNC023904)". The record is from RNAcentral. Lineage: Eukaryota; Viridiplantae; Streptophyta; Magnoliopsida; Poales; Poaceae.